Molecule: small RNA, 4377 nt
Filed under: Pongo abelii (Sumatran orangutan)
Lineage: Eukaryota; Metazoa; Chordata; Mammalia; Primates; Hominidae
Description: retained intron
Source: RNAcentral
CUUCCUCCACAUCCCAGUUCUCGAUUUCUGUAGUAGCGGCUGUAUUGCAGCCGCCUGCCGAACCGACCCGGUCUGGGGACUGGCCCCUCUGGCGCCGUUCGGUUUCUCUUAUUGCCUUCACUGAGGAUGAGUCCCUGUGUGGCUCUAUGUGGACCCUGCGGAAUCCACCCGCGCAGUUUCAUCUAGCGACUGGUCACCCUUGCAAUUAUGGAUAUUUAAAAGGAUCAGACAGUGUGGAGGGGGAGUUCCCCUCCGCACUCCCCCUUGGUGCUUGACUCCAGGAAUAAUUUAUAAACUGUGGAAUUUUUUUAAAUGAAGAACUUGUAUUUGAUAUGAACUUUAUAGAGCUAUUUAUAAUUUUUUUGAUUUAAGUGCCAAAAAAUUGUAUAAAGAUAUAUAGUUUUAUACUAUUGUCAUGAGGAUUUAAAUUAUCCUAAAAAGGUAAUUUAUUCUCGGUAACUUCCUCAGUAGCACCUUUGUGUCCUGGCUUUUUCAUUUUUUAAAAUUAGUUUUCACGAUUCCAAAGUAAGUGGUAUAAAAACAAUUAGGAUGAAUUCACCCAUGCCUGACUGCACAUCGAAGUGUCGAUCCCUGAAGCAUGCUUUGGAUGUCCUUUCUGUGGUAACAAAGGGGAGCGAAAACCAGAUUAAGGCCUUUCUCUCCAGUCAUUGUUACAAUGCUGCAACUAUCAAGGAUGUUUUUGGCAGGAAUGCCCUCCACCUUGUUUCCUCCUGUGGAAAGAAAGGAGUGUUAGAAUGGCUUAUUCAGAAAGGAGUGGAUCUGUUGGUGAAAGACAAAGAGUCUGGAUGGACAGCAUUGCACAGAAGCAUUUUUUAUGGACAUAUUGAUUGUGUUUGGUCUCUAUUGAAGCAUGGUGUUAGUCUGUAUAUUCAAGAUAAAGAAGGCUUAUCCUACAGAUGUUUAUACUUGGGGCGAUAAUACAAAUUUUACCCUGGGUCAUGGAAGCCAGAAUAGCAAACAUCAUCCAGAGUUGGUGGAUCUGUUCUCUAGGAGUGGGAUUUAUAUCAAGCAGGUGGUGCUUUGUAAAUUUCACUCCGUGUUUCUGUCUCAGAAAGGGCAGGUUUAUACCUGUGGUCAUGGUCCUGGAGGGCGAUUAGGACAUGGAGAUGAACAGACAUGCUUGGUCCCUCGGCUUGUGGAAGGACUGAAUGGUCAUAAUUGUUCCCAAGUGGCAGCUGCUAAGGAUCAUACUGUUGUAUUAACUGAAGAUGGAUGUGUUUAUACAUUUGGUCUAAACAUUUUUCAUCAAUUAGGAAUUAUUCCACCACCUUCCAGUUGUAAUGUACCCAGACAGAUACAGGCAAAAUAUCUGAAAGGAAGGACAAUCAUUGGCGUUGCAGCAGGCAGGUUUCAUACAGUCCUAUGGACUAGAGAAGCUGUUUACACUAUGGGACUAAAUGGUGGACAACUGGGUUGUUUGCUAGAUCCCAAUGGAGAAAAGUGUGUAACUGCUCCUCGUCAGGUCUCUGCCCUUCACCAUAAAGACAUUGCUCUGUCUUUGGUUGCUGCAAGUGAUGGAGCUACAGUCUGUGUUACCACAAGGGGAGAUAUUUACUUACUUGCAGACUAUCAGUGCAAGAAGAUGGCUUCUAAACAAUUGAACUUGAAAAAAGUUCUUGUGUCUGGGGGUCAUAUGGAAUACAAAGUUGAUCCUGAACAUUUGAAAGAAAAUGGGGGUCAAAAAAUUUGUAUUCUUGCAAUGGAUGGAGCUGGAAGGGUGUUUUGCUGGAGAUCAGUCAACAGUUCUCUGAAGCAGUGUCGAUGGGCCUAUCCACGUCAGGUCUUCAUUUCUGAUAUUGCUUUAAAUAGAAAUGAAAUUCUAUUUGUUACGCAAGAUGGAGAAGGAUUUAGAGGGAGAUGGUUUGAAGAAAAAAGAAAGAGUUCUGAAAAGAAAGAGAUUUUAUCAAACCUUCACAAUUCCUCAUCAGAUGUGUCUUAUGUCUCUGAUAUAAAUAGUGUGUAUGAAAGAAUUCGACUUGAGAAACUUACCUUUGCACAUAGAGCUGUUAGUGUCAGCACAGAUCCAAGUGGAUGCAACUUUGCAAUCCUGCAGUCAGAUCCUAAAACAAGCCUUUAUGAAAUUCCAGCUGUGUCCUCAUCAUCCUUUUUUGAAGAGUUUGGCAAACUGUUGAGGGAAGCAGAUGAAAUGGACAGCAUUCAUGAUGUGACAUUUCAAGUUGGCAAUAGACUCUUCCCUGCACAUAAAUAUAUUUUGGCAGUGCAUUCUGAUUUUUUUCAGAAAUUGUUUCUUUCAGAUGGUGAUACUUCAGAAUUUACAGAUAUUUACCAGAAAGAUGAAGAUUCUGCAGGGUGCCAUCUCUUUGUGGUAGAGAAGGUUCAUCCUGACAUGUUUGAAUACCUUUUACAAUUUAUAUACACAGAUACUUGUGACUUUUUAACUCAUGGCUUCAAACCAAGAAUACACUUAAACAAAAACCCAGAAGAAUAUCAGGGAACUCUGAAUUCUUAUUUGAAUAAAGUGAAUUUCCAUGAAGAUGAUAACCAGAAGUCUGCAUUUGAAGUUUACAAAAGUAAUCAAGCUCAAACAGUUAGUGAGAGGCAGAAGAGCAAACCUAAAUCUUGUAAAAAAGGAAAAAAUAUUAGGGAAGAUGAUCCUGUAAGAAUGUUGCAAACUGUUGCAAAGAAAUUUGGCUUCAGUAAUUUGAGUAGUAGGUUAGAUGGAGUCAGAUUUGAAAAUGAAAAAAUUAAUGUUAUUUCCAAGAACACUGGUAAUAAACUGAAGCUAAGUCAGAAAAAAUGUUCAUUUCUGUGUGACGUGACCAUGAAAUCAGUGGAUGGAAAGGAAUUUCCUUGUCAUAAAUGUGUUCUUUGUGCUAGACUUGAAUAUUUUCACAGUAUGCUGAGUAGCUCAUGGAUUGAGGCUUCCAGUUGUGCAGCUCUGGAAAUGCCAAUACAUUCUGAUAUAUUAAAAGUUAUUUUGGACUACCUCUAUACUGAUGAAGCUGUGGUGAUAAAAGAAUCUCAAAAUGUAGAUUUUAUUUGUAGUGUUCUUGUGGUGGCUGAUCAACUUCUCAUAACCCGGUUGAAAGAGAUUUGUGAAGUAGCAUUAACUGAAAAACUUACCCUGAAGAAUGCUGCUAUGCUACUGGAAUUUGCAGCAAUGUAUAGUGCAAAACAGUUGAAACUGUCUUGUUUACAGUUUAUAGGAUUGAAUAUGGCAGCUUUACUUGAAGCAAGGUCUCUUGAUGUUUUAAGUGAUGGUGUUUUGAAGGAUCUUUCUGAGUUUUACCGGAAAAUGAUUCCAGCAAUGGAUAGAAGAGUCAUUACACCAUAUCAAGAUGGACCAGAUAUUAGCUAUUUGGAAGUAGAAGAUGGAGAUAUCUUCUUGAAAGAAGAAAUAAAUAUGGAACAAAAUCAUUCGGAAACUAUGUUCAAGAAGGCAAAAACAAAAGCUAAAAAGAAGCCACGUAAACGUUCAGAUAGUUCUGGAGGUUAUAACCUUUCAGAUAUUAUUCAGAGUCCAUCAUCUACAGGAUUAUUAAAGUCUGGUAAGACCAAUUCUGUGGAAUCUCUUCCAGAACUGUUGACAUCAGACUCUGAAGGAAGCUAUGCAGGAGUGGGUAGUCCUAGAGAUUUACAGUCCCCUGAUUUCACAACAGGAUUUCAUUCAGAUAAGAUUGAGGCGAAAGUCAAACCAUAUGUUAAUGGUACCUCUCCAGUGUAUUCUAGGGAAGAUUUAAAACCAUGGGAAAAGUCACCAAUACUUAAAAUAUCUGCUCCACAGCCCAUUCCCAGUAACAGAAUUGAUACUACCAGCUCUGCCAGUUGGGUUGCUGGUUCUUUCAGUCCUGUCAGCCCUCCUGUUGUGGAUCUCAGAACCAUCAUGGAAAUAGAAGAAAGUAGACAAAAAUGUGGAGCUACACCAAAGUCACAUUUAGGGUUGGUUGAAAACAUUAUAAAUGAUCAUUUCAUGUUGUAUUUCUGCCUUAAGAAUUGGACAGACUUACUCCAUCUUUCCUAUUAUUUUUCUGCAUUUCAUGUUAUAGUUAAUUAUACAUCCUUUUCUGGGCAAUUUAGCCUCCAUAAUAUUAUUUCUUAAAUAUGUGCUAAAGAUAGAGUUGAGUUGAUAAUCCAGCUCUUGUAGAAUACAGUAUUACAUCCCAGAAACUUGACUCUAAAAUGAUCAUUGUGGACUAUUGGCUACAAAAGCCAAAGAGUUAAGGCUUGUGAUGCAAGUUCUUCUUGAAAUUUAUGGUAUGUUGGAGGGCUCAUAUGUAGCUAUUACUUGAUCAUUGUUAGUAUAAACUGAUAUUUUCAUUGUUGAAACUUGUGAGCAUUUUGAUCCAAUAAUGGUAAAAUAACAUCAAAUAAAUAGAAAACAUUAUUAUUACCAGU